Molecule: non-coding RNA, 5564 nt
Organism: Paramormyrops kingsleyae
Lineage: Eukaryota; Metazoa; Chordata; Actinopteri; Osteoglossiformes; Mormyridae
Source: RefSeq, a predicted model, not a curated record
CCCACAAGGGCGGGGUUUGGGGCGGCUGGUCACGCGGGCUCGGGCGGAGGCGAGGGCGCGUGCCGAGUGAGCGCGAUCCCCUGGCUCUCUGAGGAUUUCAUACUCCGGCGGUGUCGUUAGUUGGCCGCUACGUUUUUGCUUCAGCCGUCACUCUACACCCUGUCAUCACAUUAGUGCCGUUUUGUCUGUGUUGGGUUUCGCCCAGUUACCUAAAGGAUUGUGAAGGAAAUCCUGCUUGUAACCAGCCCAGUGCCUUGCUUUGCUCUUGUUUAAGAAUUUUGUCUGUUGACACUAUUAGAAAGGCAAAGACUGGGAUACGUCACUCGAGCUCCGCUCUUUGCCCCCCCGACCCCAACCUCAUAAUAGCAUCGGGAGAAACUUUGCACGUUGAGCAGCACAAGGACCUUGUGCAUGAAACUGGUGUACUGAUCUGAAUAUGGGUACAAUCACUUGAACUGCAUUAGAUUGACCUGCAGGUGACAAAGUGGAUAAGGAUGCAGACUCUGGAAGUUAUGGGCUCAAAUGGCCCGAGAUCUUGCUCUUGGCUGAAGUGUUUGGUUAACACAGUUGUUGCUACAGAAGACAUUUGAGAUGACGAACAGUCUUCUUAAAAAGGCUUUAACACAGAGGGAAUGGUGUUAGCAAAACUGCAGGAGCUCUGCGCUUGAACAACAAAUCAGUGUGACGAGUGAUCAGGAAUCUCUUGAGAAGAAUGGGUGUUGAAAUUUGGAGAAUGAAUGAAGGAUGCAAGUGCUCCUCGGAAGGGGAUCUAAGUGCAGUCCCUGUUUGCAGCUCAAAGUCCAAGGGAAUGGAAGAAGGAAUUGCUCGUAUGCAGAAAGCCCUGAAGGGAGUGUGUGAUUGGCUUUAUGACCCAGCCUGAAGAGCCACGCCUUCUCCCGUCUGAUACCUCUGCAUCCUGCCUGGACACCUGACAGCAGAGCUCUGCAGGCUGCAGCGUGUGUCAUUGUCAGAAGGGUUCCUCCAGAUGUGAGGGCUUAUCAGAGCGUUCUGCUACACCGCAGGAGUUGUGUACUUAACUUAUCUGCGACUAACAGGAGCAGCGCUACAUGGCUUUAGCGGCGCGAGAAGUUCUGGAUCGAUAGAUAGCCAAGAUUUGGCAGCAGUGAAGAAUGCAACAGUUAAGUCCCUCUCUGUGAAGCAGCUUUUCCUUGUGAUCAAGGCUAUGACCGAAACCAAGAGUCUAGAAUUCACUAUAAUGAAAAAACACUGGCAGUGUGACGCUGUUCCCCAUAUUAAGAUUAACCUUUUUGACGUCAAUUGACAUCCUCACUUCCUUAUUUGUUAAAUUUGGAUAAACCCACUGUAAACAGGCGACACUUGAUGAGUUCCUUUAUUACACAAAGAUAUUGUGCCGUUUAGACCCUGGCUGGGGGGACUGAAAACCCCCCCAAGCCCAUUCUCUCAGCUCAUUUAUAAACUGCCAGCCAGAGAACAUAUGUAACAUCUUACCCACUCUUCAAAUGAAAUCAAUGUCUGAUCAAUCUUAACACAGGGGCCUGCAGGGGGUUACUGAGGUCAGCCACUGGGCUUUCAUCUUGGGCGUCCACUGGUCGCCGGUAUCUGGGGCUGUGGCUUGUUUCUGCUCGAUCCAGACAAAUUCAAUUAGUGGCGCCGUUUCCCCAGGGGGAGGGUAGAGGGUAGCACCUCCAUCUGGUUUCACUGGAAAUGCGACUUAAGGGGAGGAGCGGUAGAUGCAUCACCCAGACCCGCCAGGGCGCGGCAGAUACGGGCACGCACGCCAAACUCGGGGGCGUGCUCGCAUGAAAACGGGCACAAUUCGCUUAUGCUGCACCUCCAUAUAGACGGAAGACACUGAGGACUUUUCACUUGUAGCUGCAAAAUUAAACCAAGAAGAGUUUUAAUUUGUAAAACGCAAUGAUGGUAUUGAAGAGUUGAGAAUAGCUAGCAUAGUAUUUGCUGUGACGUACAGUAAGUCAUUUUGGAAAAACCUGAUUAAGAUGGUGAGUUUAUUUUCAGACCUGAGUUCAGUGGUUUCCUGCAGUGUUGCUUGCUCCCAAUGAAGUUUCACACUUAAACUCAGGUUUACUCAUUAUGGGACAAGGGAGCACCACACCCUCUUUUACAGUUACUCUGUCUGUUACCCUGACUCAGACUCAUCUGCCUGCUGUGACACAAGUUACUACUUAAUCCCCGUACCCCAAAAUAACAGCAUCUGUCACUCUGUCAGUCUGACAAUGUAAUGUAGCCAGUCACUGUUACCAGAUAUGUAAAUUUCAGACUUUUUAUAUAGUCCAAAUGUCUUAAUUAACUUCCACAAAUUUAUAUUCCAUCAUUCUUGUCUUGUUGGCAGCACAAUAGCUACAUAAUGGUCUACGACAGUUAACAAUAUUCCACAGGGUGGUCAUAUUGAAUUGCUGUUAGCCUCUUUUAAUACUUUUUUUCAACUGAGCCUUUGUACUUAUUUUUAUAUCACCAAAGCAUGUGAAGAGCACUUCCAGUUUUUGCUUUGUCAUGAUUGUGUGACCUCGUGCUUUUGCGGGAGAAGCAAGAAUCAGGUUAAGGAACUUUUCUUAUUAUGGUUUGGGGCCGCAGUAACCACAGUGAAAGUCAGCACCCAUGUUCUCAUGAGAAUCUUAUUGCCUGUUUGUAUGUUUACUUUCGAACUUCAGAGAGAUAACCGUCUCCAGACUUUAUGGAGAAGCAGUUUUGCUGGCAAGUUUCCUAACCUCCCUGCGAUGGAGAUAUUGCCCAGGUCUAGUGAGAGGUGCGAUCUCAUCCUCUCGAGUGCCAUGCGUGUGCAUCUGUUUUCUCUGUUGCGCAACACCUGUCGGCGGUCGCCGUGACGACACCAUGCCGGUGCUCCGGAGCAUGAACCCUGACUGAACCUGCCUUGUUUUUCUCUGUCACGGCGUCGGGCCGCUUUCUCUUCCCGUCUGGCGGGUGACGUCACUCCCUCACCCGGUGAGACCACAAUUUAUAUGCCGCACAAUCGAUGAGUCACUCCCACAAGAUUCCUAUCAUAUCCAGCCCCCCACUGUUGCUUAUGUAAAAAUGAGAAGUAAAAAGUUGAACUUACUUGUUUUUAUGUUUUACUGACACGAAACGUGUGGGACCAUGUCAGACAGGAAUAUGACUCCUGUCAAGCUUUUGAGACGUAAACAAGUCAGACUACAUGGUAUUGAGGGAUUUUGAAAAUGUCUGUUUUCAGAAAAGGGAUGUUUCUAAGAUGAGGUUUAUUCCAGUUCCUUGACCUCAGUCCCCACUAAUGUCUAUAGGUAAACUGGUCCAAUAUUCCUGAAAUUCUGUGUAUAUGUUGAAAAAAUGAAAUCCUCGUGUUCCUGUGAAUGCUGGAACACAUAAAGGCUCCCCUUCAGCAAUGGGAAGAAAGUGUUGGAGAUGUGUCACAGCUGGGUGUGGGCUCAGCUAUUAGUGUCUGUGUGCACUUUCAGGGCCUGAAAGAAAAAACAGAGUUAAGGUUCUUGUGACUGGUGCAUGAACGUGCUCAUCACCUGACUUCUCCCUGACUGGGGAUAUCCACACCUCUCCCCCACCUCUUUCAGACUGCUUAUCCAAACAGAAGAAGGAUAGCACAGAUUCCUAUAUCUCUACCUGACAGCAGUGAGACAUGGUCAGGCUGCUCUGUGGUUCCUACAUAUCACUCUGCACUGGACUGAAUGGUGUGAAACUUCAGAAUCUUUUCCUGUCUGCUUCAUUGCUUUGGAGUUAAACUGCUCUUUAAAAGCUUCCUUUUAAUGAGUGUCUUGGAGAGCAGUCAAAGUACAGUGCAGGACAGCCACUUAUCUGGGCAGGGUGGGGUGCGGGGGCACUUUUACAUCUGUGCCCAAUCAUUAAUGAAACCAGUCACCAGGUGGCGCUAAACUCCCUGGGGAAAAAGCUAAUGUUUCUGUCCAUCAUUCACUGUUCAUUUCAGACUACUUAUGGUCCACAUCUCAGCAUGUGUAGGCACAGCUGUUAGGGCUGGGCAUGUGUCCCCCAUGUGGUUACCCUCACCUGAGUGCACCAGUGACCUGUUCAUCUGGUCCGUCAUGCGAGCCUUUGUGCACACAAGCAACUUAAGAGAGCAAUCAAAUUAGGAAAUUAGGAAGUGCCGCCUUUACAUACAAAGAGGCGACAUAUUUCCUUCAAUACAAACCGGGUGUAAAAUUUUCACGAAAUUCAAGGUAACGAGACAGUUUGGCCAGAAAUUUGGUUUUUGCAUAAUUUUUGUAUUCCUUUCCCAGGCUGUUAAAAAACUUACCAAGUGCCCUUGUUCCCCUAAAUAUAUAAGAUGAUAAUCAGCCAGGCUGAGCUAAAAGAAGAGUGGAAAGUCUAACUUGUGUUCUUUAACUUUUACAUGCAUUAAUUUUCCUGCAGAUACUUGAAGAGGCUUUGAUUCAUACAAGUGCACUAAGUGCAUAUCAUAAAACAUCACUGGUCGCCAUGAAUAUUGUUUCAUCACAGUGAUAUUUAAAGGCAUCAAUUGAAAAUGCAACUGACCUGGCUAGUAUUAAAUGGGACCCACUGUUUACCUAUGGCGUGUAAUUUUUCUCAAGCACCAGAGACACACCCAGCAAAACGAAAAAAACAAAAAAAAACAGGUUAGCCAGGUGGAUAUCUGACAGACGGAGUUAAUUACGAGGAGUCAGGUGACUCCCAGGUGUGAGCCUUCUGAGUCUUUGAGUCAGACUGUGUCUGUGUGUGUGGGAGAGUGUCUCUGUGGUGUGUUUGCGUAUGUUUGCUUGUUUCUGUGUGUUUGUAUCGGUGUCAUUGAAAUUGUACAUGUGUGCGAUAGUCUAUGUCCCUGUUAAUGCUUCUCUGUCCUGUGAAGAUAAAUUUUGGGAAAAUGCACGUGUAAAGACACCAAAACCGGAAAAGCAGACAUGGUAGCCAUCUCCUCAGACAAUUACCUUUUUUCAGUCUUAUCUGCUUAAAAAAUGAAGUGAAAACCUUUAGGUUAUCGCUUUUCAAUUCGCUUUGACUUUUACUGGUUUGGAUCUGGAAUUAUUAUUAAUUUUCCACAAAGAUGGGAACACAAACACUUGUAUGUAUGUGUGUAAGUGUGUGUUUGUCAGGGUCCCUGGUGUGUGGUUUUGCUGCGUAUGUGUGUAUACACAUCAGUAUAUGUGACCUUCCUCAGUAUGUGUGUUUGUAAGUGUCGGUCUGUGUACAUGGGUCUGCAUGUGUUUAUGCGUUGGUGUUUGUGUGGGUGUGUAUUUAUUUUGAGUUCUCUCAAAAGUCCAGGUUCCCAUGCCUUCCAAGGGCCACUGGGCGCUUCUAGUUUCUGUCUAAAGCCAAAGACUAAUUGGGGCUCUUGCUCCCCCACCCCCCAACCCCCUGCCUCAUUAAUCAAUGAGAGGAGCUGUACCCUCUCUCGCCCUUUCUCUCCACCGGUGCCCUGGGGAGCGGGGGCCCUGCACUCCGGCGACGCAUAGCUUUCCCCUGUGCAUCUGCAUCCUGAUCCCAGGGCACCCGUCCUCCACGGAAACAAAAGCCAUCUUGUCACAUGGUGACCGAGCGCCUGGGGGCCAUUCAGGGAAGGGGAACAAAUGAAAAGCAGCCCUGCAGACAUGCAGGAGAGAAGC